This 254-nucleotide ribosomal RNA is filed under the name uncultured bacterium. Its description in RNAcentral is "partial 16S ribosomal RNA". It matches the Rfam family "Bacterial small subunit ribosomal RNA", at positions 524 to 776 of the family's 1533-position model. The record is from RNAcentral.
UACGUAGGGCGCAAGCGUUAUCCGGAAUUAUUGGGCGUAAAGAGCUCGUAGGCGGUUUGUCGCGUCUGCCGUGAAAGUCCGGGGCUCAACUCCGGAUCUGCGGUGGGUACGGGCAGACUAGAGUGAUGUAGGGGGAGACUGGAAUUCCUGGUGUAGCGGUGAAAUGCGCAGAUAUCAGGAGGAACACCGGUGGCGAAGGCGGGUCUCUGGGCCGUAACUGACGCUGAGGAGCGAAAGCAUGGGGAGCGAACAGG